Molecule: long non-coding RNA, 322 nt
Filed under: Musa acuminata (dwarf banana)
Lineage: Eukaryota; Viridiplantae; Streptophyta; Magnoliopsida; Zingiberales; Musaceae
Description: long non-coding RNA (MACU_LNC003827)
Source: RNAcentral
UAAGCUGAAAUAUUUUGCAUUAUGAAGAAUUAAAAGGAAAACAAAGAUUAGGAAUUCUGUAGGAAGAGGUUAGAACACUUGCCUUAAGCAAAUUUGAUUCCCAAAUGGGGGGAGUUGAUGCAAAACCUCAAUCAAAGCUUCUUCUUCAAUUCCUCUUCUUCUUCUUCUUCUUCUUCCCUUCUCUUCUCUUCUUAAACUCACGUUGGCUGCAGUAUCUGAAGGUUACAUUUAGUUUCUCCUUUAAUCUCUUAUUUAAUUACUUUUGGUUAACACAAGGGUUGCAAAGUUGCAAGGUGGCAAGCAUGCAUGAAAAAUGCUAGGU